GACGAACGCUGGCGGCGUGCUUAACACAUGCAAGUCGAACGGAAAGGCCCUGCUUUUGUGGGGUGCUCGAGUGGCGAACGGGUGAGUAACACGUGAGUAACCUGCCCUUGACUUUGGGAUAACUUCAGGAAACUGGGGCUAAUACCGGAUAGGAGCUCCUGCUGCAUGGUGGGGGUUGGAAAGUUUCGGCGGUUGGGGAUGGACUCGCGGCUUAUCAGCUUGUCGGUGGGGUAGUGGCUUACCAAGGCUUUGACGGGUAGCCGGCCUGAGAGGGUGACCGGCCACAUUGGGACUGAGAUACGGCCCAGACUCCUACGGGAGGCAGCAGUGGGGAAUAUUGCACAAUGGGCGGAAGCCUGAUGCAGCAACGCCGCGUGCGGGAUGACGGCCUUCGGGUGGUAAACCGCUUUCGCCUGUGACGAAGCGUGAGUGACGGCAAUGGGUAAAGAAGCACCGGCUAACUACGU
RNAcentral lists this ribosomal RNA (467 nucleotides) under uncultured bacterium. RNAcentral's name for it is "partial 16S ribosomal RNA". It matches the Rfam family "Bacterial small subunit ribosomal RNA", at positions 28 to 506 of the family's 1533-position model. The record is from RNAcentral.